UACGGAAGGCAGCAGUGGGGAAUAUUGCACAAUGGGCGCAAGCCUGAUGCAGCCAUGCCGCGUGUAUGAAGAAGGCCUUCGGGUUGUAAAGUACUUUCAGCGGGGAGGAAGGCGAUGCGGUUAAUAACCGCGUCGAUUGACGUUACCCGCAGAAGAAGCACCGGCUAACUCCGUGCCAGCAGCCGCGGUAAUACGGAGGGUGCAAGCGUUAAUCGGAAUUACUGGGCGUAAAGCGCACGCAGGCGGUCUGUUAAGUCAGAUGUGAAAUCCCCGGGCUUAACCUGGGAACUGCAUUUGAACUGGCAGGCUUGAGUCUUGUAGAGGGGGUAGAAUUCCAGGUGUAGCGGUGAAAUGCGUAGAGAUCUGGAGGAAUACCGGUGGCGAAGGCGGCCCCUGGGACAAGACUGACGCUCAGGUGCGAAAGCGUGGGGAGCAAACGAGGAUUAGAUACC
RNAcentral lists this ribosomal RNA (452 nucleotides) under uncultured bacterium. RNAcentral's name for it is "bacterial SSU rRNA". It matches the Rfam family "Bacterial small subunit ribosomal RNA", at positions 340 to 786 of the family's 1533-position model. The record is from RNAcentral.